AAUAUUGGACAAUGGGGGCAACCCUGAUCCAGCCAUGCCGCGUGUGUGAAGAAGGGCUCCGGAGUGUAAAGCACUUUAAGUUGGGAGGCAGGGCUCUAGGUGAAUACUCUGAAGUUUUGACGGUACCAACAGAAUAAGCACCGGCUAACUCUGUUCCAGCAGCCGUGGUAAUACAGAGGGUGCAAGCGUUAAUCGGAAUUAGUGGGCGUAAAGCGGGCGUAGGUGGUGCAGUAAGAUGGGUGUGAAAACCCCGGGCUUAACCUGGGAACUGCUUUCAUAACUGCUGAGCUAGAGUACAGUAGAGGGUAGUGGAAUUUCCUGUGUAGCGGUGAAAUGCGUAGUUAUAGGAAGGAACACCAGUGGCGAAGGCGACUACCUGGACUGAUACUGACACUGAGGUGCGAAAGCGUGGGGAGCAAAC
This 421-nucleotide ribosomal RNA is filed under the name uncultured bacterium. Its description in RNAcentral is "partial 16S ribosomal RNA". It matches the Rfam family "Bacterial small subunit ribosomal RNA", at positions 360 to 773 of the family's 1533-position model. The record is from RNAcentral.